UACGUAGGGGGCAAGUGUUGUCCGGAAUCAUUGGGCGUAAAGCGCGUGUAGGCGGUUCGGUAAGUCUGCUGUGAAAGUCCAGGGCUCAACCCUGGGAUGCCGGUGGAUACUGUCGGACUAGAGUACGGAAGAGGCGAGUGGAAUUCCCGGUGUAGCGGUGAAAUGCGCAGAUAUCGGGAGGAACACCAAUUGCGAAGGCAGCUCGCUGGGACGUUACUGACGCUGAGACGCGAAAGCGUGGGGAGCAAACAGG
RNAcentral lists this ribosomal RNA (253 nucleotides) under uncultured bacterium. RNAcentral describes it as "partial 16S ribosomal RNA". It matches the Rfam family "Bacterial small subunit ribosomal RNA", at positions 524 to 776 of the family's 1533-position model. The record is from RNAcentral.